This 514-nucleotide ribosomal RNA is filed under the name uncultured Arcobacter sp. Its description in RNAcentral is "bacterial SSU rRNA". It matches the Rfam family "Bacterial small subunit ribosomal RNA", at positions 76 to 608 of the family's 1533-position model. Lineage: Bacteria; Pseudomonadati; Campylobacterota; Epsilonproteobacteria; Campylobacterales; Arcobacteraceae. The record is from RNAcentral.
CUUGCUAAAGUUGUCAGCUAAGUGGCGCACGGGUGAGUAAUGUAUAGGUAAUAUGCCUCUUACUAAGGGAUAACAAUUGGAAACGAUUGCUAAUACCUUAUAUGCCUUUAAGACUUAAGUCUGCAAGGGAAAGAUUUAUUGGUAAGAGAUUAGCCUGUAUUGUAUCAGUUAGUUGGUGGGGUAAUGGCCUACCAAGACAAUGACGCAUAACUGGUUUGAGAGGAUGAUCAGUCACACUGGAACUGAGACACGGUCCAGACUCCUACGGGAGGCAGCAGUGGGGAAUAUUGCACAAUGGGGGAAACCCUGAUGCAGCAACGCCGCGUGGAGGAUGACACAUUUCGGUGCGUAAACUCCUUUUAUAUAGGAAGAUAAUGACGGUACUAUAUGAAUAAGCACCGGCUAACUCCGUGCCAGCAGCCGCGGUAAUACGGAGGGUGCAAGCGUUACUCGGAAUCACUGGGCGUAAAGAGCGUGUAGGCGGGUAUAUAAGUCAGAAGUGAAAUCCAAUAGC